RNAcentral lists this long non-coding RNA (900 nucleotides) under Sinocyclocheilus anshuiensis. Its description in RNAcentral is "lncRNA (ENSSANG00000013347.1)". Lineage: Eukaryota; Metazoa; Chordata; Actinopteri; Cypriniformes; Cyprinidae. The record is from RNAcentral.
AAAAUAUCUGACUCAUUAUUACUUUACAGAGUUUAGGAUGUUUUACAAGUGUGUGCCAUCACAAUUCCUAUCACUUAAAAGCAUUUUUCCCUUGUAGUUGAAAGCCUCUCUUGGAAUGAAUGUGAUCAGUGCCAUAACUGCAGGGAUAUCCAUUAUUCUGAUGGGUGCAGACAUAGGAAUCACCUCAUUGAUUCGUUCAAAUUGCUAUGGGUAUGACUGUAUAGAUCCUCAGGGGUUUGGUUCAGGGAUCCUUGGAAUAUUGCUGGUGUUCUCCAUCCUUCAGUUGAUCAUCUCCAUCUUUAUCUCAGCAUUUGUCUGCAAAGCCACCAACAGCACAGACUCUACAGUGAUCAAUGUGGCACUAAACCAGGGAUACUGAGUCACAGUAAGGAGAUACCAUCCAAAGGUUGCAAGGAAUUCAUAUUUGUAGUGUUGCUUCUGACUCAAAUAUUUGUCUUUCUUUCUAGUGUAUCUAUAAUAGUAAGAGAGUGAGAAUAUAUGGACACAUUUUAUAAUUAUUGGAAAAUUGAUCUUCAAACCCUGAUCAAACACAUAUGUACAAGCUAAUCAAUCAAGCUAGCCUUCAGGAUUUCUAAAAAAAAAAAAGACAGGCAGGUGAGUUGGUCAGGGUUGGAGCUAAACUCUACAGGACCAUAGAUCUUGAGGGCCAGAGUUGUGAAACCCUGUGUUAUCAACCACAUGUUGACAUUAUUUUUUAAAGCAAAACAUGAUUGGACUGAUAUAUGAGUCUUUUAAAUAAAGGUGACCACUUCAAAAAUCCUCAAUCCUACAAUGUUUGUCUGUCAUUAUUUCUGUGAUAUACAGUAGCUACGUCACCAUUUAAUACAUUUGCAUAAUACCCGCCUGCUGGCUACUGCUGGCCCUCAAACAAAGGUAGUU